Molecule: long non-coding RNA, 198 nt
Organism: Zingiber officinale
Lineage: Eukaryota; Viridiplantae; Streptophyta; Magnoliopsida; Zingiberales; Zingiberaceae
Exons: 2
Source: RefSeq, a predicted model, not a curated record
GAUAUUGAAAUUACAAGCUUAAAACUCAAUUUAAAGAAAAGUGGGAGAAAAGCUUAUCCAAAACGACGAGAGGUCUUCGGAUCCAAUCUAAGCUUCCAGAGUCGUAAGAGACGACGAAUACAACUUCAGAUCUUCAAUUGGGGCAGAAAAAAGGAUAUAGAUCUGGACUAAGAUGAAUCUCCCAAGAGGGAGAACCUU